This 253-nucleotide ribosomal RNA is filed under the name uncultured bacterium. RNAcentral's name for it is "partial 16S ribosomal RNA". It matches the Rfam family "Bacterial small subunit ribosomal RNA", at positions 524 to 776 of the family's 1533-position model. The record is from RNAcentral.
GACAGAGGUGGCAAGCGUUGUUCGGAUUUACUGGGCUUAAAGGGCGUGUAGGCGUCCUGAUAAGUCAGAUGUGGAAGCCUUGGGCUUAACCCAAGAAUUGCAUUUGAAACUGUCAGGAUUGAGUCGUGCAUGGGAGGGCGGAAUUCCUGGUGUAGCGGUGAAAUGCGUAGAUAUCAGGAGGAAGGCCUGUGGUGAAGAUGGCCCUCUGGGCAAUGACUGACGCUGAGGCGCGAAAGCGUGGGUAGCAAACAGG